CGCUGGCGGCAGGCUUAACACAUGCAAGUCGAACGCCCCGCAAGGGGAGUGGCAGACGGGUGAGUAACGCGUGGGAACGUACCCUUCGGUUCGGAACAACCCUGGGAAACUAGGGCUAAUACCGGAUACGUGCGAGAGCAGAAAGGUUUACUGCCGAAGGAUCGGCCCGCGUCUGAUUAGCUAGUUGGUGAGGUAACGGCUCACCAAGGCGACGAUCAGUAGCUGGUCUGAGAGGAUGAUCAGCCACAUUGGGACUGAGACACGGCCCAAACUCCUACGGGAGGCAGCAGUGGGGAAUAUUGGACAAUGGGCGCAAGCCUGAUCCAGCCAUGCCGCGUGAGUGAUGACGGCCCUAGGGUUGUAAAGCCCUUUUACCUGGGAAGAUAAUGACGGUACCAGGAGAAUAAGCCCCGGCUAACUUCGUGCCAGCAGCCGCGGUAAUACGAAGGGGGCUAGCGUUGUUCGGAAUCACUGGGCGUAAAGCGCACGUAGGCGGAUCAUUAAGUCAGGGGUGAAAUCCCGAGGCUCAACCUCGGAACUGCCUUUGAUACUGGUGAUCUUGAGUCCGGGAGAGGUGAGUGGAACUGCGAGUGUAGAGGU
This 600-nucleotide ribosomal RNA is filed under the name uncultured bacterium. RNAcentral's name for it is "bacterial SSU rRNA". It matches the Rfam family "Bacterial small subunit ribosomal RNA", at positions 34 to 682 of the family's 1533-position model. The record is from RNAcentral.